Mus musculus (house mouse) is the source of this 2399-nucleotide long non-coding RNA. RefSeq annotates it as predicted gene, 34895. The record is from RefSeq and is a predicted model, not a curated record. Lineage: Eukaryota; Metazoa; Chordata; Mammalia; Rodentia; Muridae. The transcript has 4 exons.
GGAAAGCACAAGGGUCAACUCCACAGCAGCUGGGUGGGUGGGGUCAAAGGAGCAGUUGUCAAUGUGUCACAGAGGACAAGCAUGCUGGGCAGUGCAGGGAUCCCACGCAAGCACCAACAACAGAUACUGUGGAGGUAGGCGAAGCAGCCCCAGAUCCCAGCGGGAGUGUGGACCAGAAACAAGUUUGUUCCAUGCUGAAAAGGGGUACCCACCACACGGGCUCUGGUGCCAAGGCCAGCGGUGGCGAAGACAUUUCACUGCAAGAUUCUUACGUCAUUCCCUGAAGGGAGUGUGGACUGAGGUAACAUGCCAGACUGUGGAGUAAUCUACUGACUUUUGAAAAAGGAACCAGGCUUGCCGGCCUCUGGCUCAGGAAAUUUUGGGAGACUGUUUUGUCUCUGCCUCCCACCUCGCUGUAGGAGUCUUCGGAUUACAGAUGUGAGCACUGCAUCCGGUUUCCAUGGAUCCGGGAAUUGAACUCGGGUCAUAACGCUUGUGCCGCUGCGACUCUCGUCUUCCAAGCUGUCUCCCCGUCUUCUUCCUCCCUUAAAGACCAACACGAUUAAUCACACACAGAGGGGAACAACUUGCCCUUCUCCCAGCUGAUAGUCUCACACCCAGAAUAUAUCAAAGGCAUUCACAACUCCAAAGCAACAUGAUGCAUGAUCAUUUAACAGGUGGAUGGACGACCAGGAGGACACUUUGUUGACGAAGACAGAUGGAGGCCUCUCCUGACAUCCGGUGAGCACUGCCUGCUGCGUCAGCCUCUCCCAGCUGCACCCAUGCCCCAGGUGCCCAGUGUCCCUGUCAUCCUGUUUCCCACAGUGUUCAACUCCUUUCUCAUGCCCUGCAAGUUUUACCCAUGUGUUCUGCGUACAGCUGCAGCAUCUUGACCCUGGAGGAUCUGAGGCAUAACCAGCCCAUCUUUUGAUUGAUGUAUCUAGAAGCACCUAAUAGGUACUUGGUAAAUGUUUCUUUUCUGACUGAGUUGAAUUUAUAAAUCCACAGUAGGCUGUACUUGUCCCCUUUACCUUUGGCAUCGUGUAGUCCUACUAUAUGACAGAGCACGGAAGUGGCUUGCCCACACUUCUGUUUAAUCUAAGGAAUCAAACUUGCUCUUGAGUUUGGGAGACUUCCAGCCAUCACAGCUUCAGAUAUCCACCCUGUUACUUCUGUUGUUUCCUAGAACAUCAGUUAAGUGCAAUUUAGAUUCUCAGUUCUCAACUUCUAUUGCUGUGAUAAACACCAUGACCAAAAGCAACAUGGGGAGGAACGGGUUAAUUUCAGUUUCAAGUAAUAAAACAGUCCAUUGUGAAAGGAAGUCAGAGCAGGAACCUGGAGACAGGAGCUGAAGAAGAAACCGUGCUGGCUUGCUCCUCAUGGCUUACUUAGCUUCUUUUAGCCCAGGGACAGCACCACCCACAGUAGGCUGGGCCCUCCACCUCAAUGAUUGAUCAAGAAAAGGUGCCUCACAGACUUAACUGCCGGCCAGUCAGACAGAAGCAUCUUCUCAAUUGAGGUUCCUGUAGAAAGUAAGGUGCACUGGUUAAUAUUAAUAUUAGUGUGGGGGGUUUCUAUCCACCUUGGAUGAUUUAGUUCCCAGAUGAAAGACACAAACCCUUCAUAUAUUUAUGAUAAGCCUUUACAGCACCAGAACUGGGCAGAUACCUACUACCCUCUAAGCUACUGGUAUAGUGAGGACAGGGCUGUUCCAAGGUAUGGCUGAGGGAAGGCUUUCAUUGUAGAUAUGAGGAAGGGUACAGCCAGAGGCAUCCAGUAGAGUCCAGAGCAGGGGAAGAAGGAGACUGAACCAGGCCAUGAGAGGGGAGAGAUGGGAGGAGAGCAAGAAAGAGAAGAGAAGGAGCCGAGAGACCCCACAGCUGACCCGGUGGUUACAUAGGAAGGAGAAGCUGUGGGAGGGAAGCCUCGAUCUGGAGAAGUUUAGGGGAAGGGGGCACGAGCUGAGGAGAGCCACAGGUAGCUGUUAUACUGAAAUAGCCUCAGAUGCACCACAGUCAGCUGUUUGAACCUGAUGGUUCCCUCUUCCCAAACAGCACCACCUAUCUGGUUGACAAGAAGCUAGACGGCACCUGCUCCUCUCUGCCUGUGGAGCCUAUCUUUGGACGUCACUGGGCACUCCUCCUGCCUUUUCUGGUUUCAGCUAGGUUGACUCUGCAGUGUCGCUCAGUAGUGAGGUUUUCAUACCCAGUGAGAUUCCCAUAAUCUGCUCUGCUUGGUUCCUUUUCAAGUUUAGUCUUUUCUGGAGAGUUACUUUGCUAAAUGCCCAUAGUUUUGGCUCUCAGUUUCGUUUCUUUACAUACUAAAAGCAUUUAUUUAGAGUUUGCGAGAUGGCUCAGUGGGUAGAAGCAUUUGUCAUACAAACCUGGGGACCUGAGUUU